AACGAACGCUGGCGGCAGGCUUAACACAUGCAAGUCGAGCGCCCCGCAAGGGGAGCGGCAGACGGGUGAGUAACGCGUGGGAAUCUACCCAUCCCUACGGAAUAGCUCCGGGAAACUGGAAUUAAUACCGUAUACGCCCUACGGGGGAAAGAUUUAUCGGGGAUGGAUGAGCCCGCGUUGGAUCAGCUAGUUGGUGGGGUAAAGGCCUACCAAGGCGACGAUCCAUAGCUGGUCUGAGAGGAUGAUCAGCCACAUUGGGACUGAGACACGGCCCAAACUCCUACGGGAGGCAGCAGUGGGGAAUAUUGGACAAUGGGGGGCAACCCUGAUCCAGCCAUGCCGCGUGAGUGAUGAAGGCCUUAGGGUUGUAAAGCUCUUUCACCGGGGAAGAUAAUGACGGUACCCGGAGAAGAAGCCCCGGCUAACUUCGUGCCAGCAGCCGCGGUAA
This 448-nucleotide ribosomal RNA is filed under the name uncultured bacterium. Its description in RNAcentral is "partial 16S ribosomal RNA". It matches the Rfam family "Bacterial small subunit ribosomal RNA", at positions 29 to 523 of the family's 1533-position model. The record is from RNAcentral.